CCCAAAAUCCAUUUCUCCCUUAUCUUUUCUUGGCUGCACCAGAAGGUUCAGCUCCUAUUCUUCUUUCGUUGUUCUUAUCAGCAGCACUUCUCUCUCACUUUCUUACCAACAGCUCUCUCUCUCUCUCUCUCACUCUCACUGAAAUCAUAUAUCUCAUUCUAAGAAAGAAAUUAAAGGAUUAGCCCUAAGAUUGCAGUUUCAAAAUUUGUGGGUGUUACCAGCCUAGGUCUGAGCUCCUUUGACUUUAGGCUCUUGCUUUCUCUGCUUUUAGGUAAGGGAUAAGUUAUAUGAGCAUUUGGUAAGUCAUGAGAUUAUUUUAAAGUGUAUUAUGCAUUAAAAGGUUUUUGAUUAGAAAUAUAACAUAUAAUCAUGUUUCAUACAAAGAUAUGCUCGUGAGCUUUUGAAACCUUAUGUAUAAUUUAAGCAUAUUGAUGCUAUUACUAAUUUCAUGAACAUGAUGUUUAAAGAAAAUAAUGGAAAUGCUUUUAUUAUGAAAUGUUAUGUAAACUAUGAAUUUCAGUAUGAUGUAUAAGUAUAAAAUGUUUUCGGGUUAUGUCCUUUGGUGAUUUGAACUCAACCAGUAGGGGUUAAAUUACUGUCUUUUCAUGAAAAAUAUUAUCUGAUUGACCAUUAAAAGUGGGACUGGCUCUGCCGUACUCGCCCUUGUUGGUUACAGCUAACUUGUGGAGGAUGCCAACUGACCCCUAUGGUUGAAGAUAUGUAUUAUGAUGUGAUCCUGGGAAUCCCUAGUGUUGUGGGGAAUGCUAGAUGCGUAACACAGUGAUGCUAGAAGCCUCUCAAAUAAGUACAGACUUAUCAGAUAUGGACAAACCAAUAUGUUAUUUGUAAACAACUAUAUUAUGUUAUUAAUCAUGAGAGAAUGAUUUUAUUUAAAUGUAUUGUGAAAAGUUAAAAGCUCUCAUGAAAAGAAGAAGUUUUUGAUGAAAAGAAAAGCUGUUCUUUAAAGAUAAAAGUUUUUGAAAUUUUGUUGUGCUUUAAAAAUAAAGAAUAUGAUGAAAAAGUUUUAGUAUUCUGUAAAGAUAAAGCUUAUGAUGAAAGUACAAGUUUAUGUUAAAAAUUUAUCAGAUAUCUGUUUUUAUGAAACGUUAAGUUUUAUGACUAUGAAAGUUAUAAUAUUUUACGAGAAGAAGUUUAUAAAGAAAAGCUUCUUAUUCGUUAAGAUGUUUCUAGUUUAAGACAAAAUUACCAAUUAUCUGAUUUAAGUUAAAAUUAUUAUUUUGUAAUGAGAAUAUAUAUAUAUAUAUAUAUGUAUAUGAUAUUAAACAAUCAAUAUUACAUUUGGUGACUUUGUAAGAAAUGAAAGAAGUUCAAUCCGAAAGGUUUUGGUAAUAUUAUUCUGAUAAGAAAAAGGAGAACAAUUAUUUUUCUGAUGAAGAGUGUAUAAGUUAUUAUUAUGAAUAGUAUAAAAUACUAUGAAUGAAAAGAUGUUCUCCUAUCUGAAUAUUUAUAAAAUGAAAUGAUUUGAUUUACAUGCAUUCUUAUUAAAUUCUUGUGUAUCUUACUGUUACUUAGCUGUGUAGCUCACCUCUUCCACUUUUUCAGUUAAUAGGUUUUAUUUUGAAGCAGAGGGAGUCUUAGUCGAGUUUUGGAAAGAGUUGGUUUUAGUUUUAAAAGUAUGGAUUCCAAAUUGGAAAUUUGAUGUUUAGCUUUGUAGUAUUGUGUAUUUUAGGAUCUAAAGAAAGUUGUGUACCUUAAAGUAUUAAGAGAUGUAUUUUGUGAAAUUUAGAAUUUGAGUAACUGGUGAAUUAUGCUA
Molecule: long non-coding RNA, 1774 nt
Organism: Quercus robur (English oak)
Lineage: Eukaryota; Viridiplantae; Streptophyta; Magnoliopsida; Fagales; Fagaceae
Exons: 2
Source: RefSeq, a predicted model, not a curated record